RNAcentral lists this transfer RNA (72 nucleotides) under Camelus bactrianus (Bactrian camel). It matches the Rfam family "tRNA". Rfam says of the family: Transfer RNA (tRNA) molecules are approximately 80 nucleotides in length. Their secondary structure includes four short double-helical elements and three loops (D, anti-codon, and T loops). The record is from Rfam by way of RNAcentral. RNAcentral also lists the same sequence under 2 other names. Lineage: Eukaryota; Metazoa; Chordata; Mammalia; Artiodactyla; Camelidae.
AGGGAAAUAGCUCAGUGGCACAGCACGUGCUUAGCAUGCACAAGGUCCUGGGUUCAAUCCCCAGUACCUCCA